RNAcentral lists this ribosomal RNA (450 nucleotides) under uncultured bacterium. RNAcentral describes it as "partial 16S ribosomal RNA". It matches the Rfam family "Bacterial small subunit ribosomal RNA", at positions 354 to 796 of the family's 1533-position model. The record is from RNAcentral.
GUGGGGAAUAUUGGACAAUGGGCGAAAGCCUGAUCCAGCCAUGCCGCGUGUGUGAAGAAGGUCUUCGGAUUGUAAAGCACUUUAAGUUGGGAGGAAGGGCAGUAAGUUAAUACCUUGCUGUUUUGACGUUACCGACAGAAUAAGCACCGGCUAACUUCGUGCCAGCAGCCGCGGUAAUACGAAGGGUGCAAGCGUUAAUCGGAAUUACUGGGCGUAAAGCGCGCGUAGGUGGUUUUGUAAGUUGAAGGUGAAAUCCCCGGGCUCAACCUGGGAACUGCCUCCAAAACUACUGAGCUAGAGUACGGUAGAGGGUAGUGGAAUUUCCUGUGUAGCGGUGAAAUGCGUAGAUAUAGGAAGGAACACCAGUGGCGAAGGCGACUACCUGGACUGAUACUGACACUGAGGUGCGAAAGCGUGGGGAUCGAACAGGAUUAGAAAACCCAGUAGUCC